RNAcentral lists this microRNA precursor (95 nucleotides) under Equus asinus (donkey). RNAcentral's name for it is "mir-544 microRNA precursor family". It matches the Rfam family "mir-544 microRNA precursor family". The record is from Rfam by way of RNAcentral. RNAcentral also lists the same sequence under 1 other name. Lineage: Eukaryota; Metazoa; Chordata; Mammalia; Perissodactyla; Equidae.
AUCACCUGGGAUCUUGUUAAAAUGCAGAUUCUGAUUCAGCAGGUCUGGGUGGGGCCUGAGAUUCUGCAUUUUAACGAGCUCCCGUGUGAUGGAGU